AUCUUAUGUAAAUCUGUGUGGCAGUAAAGAAUCCCUAGCAUUUGAAGUGGAAACUCUUCCUUCCACCAGAUGGCAGAGUAGUAUUAAAAAGCAAGCAAAGAAUCAACUACUGUAGACAAACUGGUGGUGAAUUUGCAAGAAUUAUCAAACACAUCAAACAGAUUCCUUUUGGCUUUAGAUUUGACUAAUGAAGCAAAAGAAGCAUAUCUCUUGAGAGAGAAAAGAAAAAGAUUUAAAAUCCAUUAGAAUCUAAGCUUCACCAAGUAGAAGGUGGGCUCGUUGAGAGCAUAUAUAUAUAUAUGCUGGCAAUAAAUACUGGAUGGAUGGAUGGAAGGGUAAGUAAAUUAGGAAAAAAGCUAAAACAAAAUUGUUUUAUUCACACUUCACUUGUUUUCCUUUUUUUUUUUUUUUUUUUUUUUUUUUUUUUUUUUUUUUGUAGAUUCCGAUUCCUCUUCCUUUUCCUUAUUAUCCAAAUCAGGUCCUAACACUUAAUGAUCUUAUAACGGUAAAUAUAUCUGUCCUGUUAAUCUAUAAAGUUCAUAAACAUAUUACAUUCAACUCCCUUUAUAAGAUAGGCCAGCUCAUCAUAAAAAUUUCUGUCUUUAUUAGUCUAAUUCAUUUCGAAACAAAAUAAAUCACAGCUGUUAAAUUCAAAGUCAAAAAACAAUCUCAGUUCAUUUCUACAUUCUACAAACAAACAGUUCUACAUUCAUUAUUCAAUUCAUACAAACUAUAAAUUGACAAAACAACCUUUUCCAUCACUGAUGAGGGUGAAAGUGAAGAGUCAAAAGACUUAGGACUUACAGAAUAAAUUCCUUUUGGAGAAAUGAAAAAGACUUAUUUCUUCACUAAUGAAGCAUUAGCAUAAACACAUUAUACAUUAAAGAUUAUCAAAGCUAAGUUCCAAUAGAUAAUGCUGCUUUUUUUUUUUUUUUUGGAUGAAAGGCACACAAUUCAAUUUUUUAAUAAGGCCCUUUAUUGAUACAGUAAGUUAUUCAGAAUAUUAGUUCAUGAAAACAGAGGAGAAAUACUUGAGUGGAGUUACAAAAGAUAACACUGAAAAAUUCCAUUUCCUUAUCUAAAAACAUACUUUUCAUACUUAAACAUUUUCUGAAAUCAAGACACAUCUCACAACAGAUACAUUUAUUCUAAGAUUUCUUUUUUCUUUAAAAUACUAUCACUUAAAAUGGUACAUUUUACAAUUGGUGGUAUCUUAGAAUCAGGGACAUGGCAGUAUUUUGUAAAAAUGUCAGAAACUCAGGCCUAAAUCAUUUGUGUGCCGGAGAUAAAAUUUUUCAGGAUUUGAGACUAUUUAAAGCCAACCAUCUUGAGGAAUAUUUAAGUGUCCCAGAAACUUGAGACCAAACAAGCUUCUGAGUCUAAUCAAUAAGAACCUAAGUCUCUUGAGUUCAAGUGCUAGUGCUCUUCCCAUAAUCCACUCUGUUUAAGCAAUGUUAUAGUCCAUUUCCAAAUGGAGACAAUAAAAAUUCUAGCAUAUUUCUAACGAAAAAUGUUUUAGGAAACUGCCUUCAAUGAUUAAUCAUUAACGAUUACAAAAUUGGCAAGUUCACCUUUAUAUCAAAACCUGCAGAAAGAGCACUGGCCUGUGGUUGGAAAGCCUAGAUUCAAACCUCUCUUAGAUUCUAAUUUCUCUCUUGAUUUAAAUCUCUUUUACAAUUAAAUUAGCUGUGUGACCCUGGGUAAAGGUAUCGGUUUACCUCCCAGGUCUCUUCCAGUGCAAAUAUACUCCUCAGAUACUCAUUCACAUUACCAGAUCUGGACACUUAAUACCUAUUUAUACUUUCUUUUUUGGAAAAUUUUUAGAAGUACUCUUGGCCACAACCUAUAUCCUGGAAAGAAUUCUGACAGAAUAACUUCUAGAACUGCCAUACCUUCAUAGCCCAGGAUUCUCCCAGGAAUCCUAGUUAAGUCAGAAAGCAGGAAGAGUCACCCUUAAGAAACAAACACCGGGGCGCCUGGGUGGCGCAGUCGGUUAAGCGUCCGACUUCAGCCAGGUCACGAUCUCGCGGUCCGUGAGUUCGAGCCCCGCAUCGGGCUCUGGGCUGAUGGCUCAGAGCCUGGAGCCUGUUUCCGAUUCUGUGUCUCCCUCUCUCUCUGCCCCUCGCCCGUUCAUGCUCUGUCUCUCUCUGUCCCAAAAAUAAAUAAACGUUGAAAAAAAAAAAAAAAAAAAAAAAAAAAAAAAAAAAAAAAAAAAGAAACAAACACCACCUCAGGUAUUGUUCUUGCCUAAGCAAACAUUGGGACAGUGUUUGACUUACAUAUUCUUGCAUACACACCGGGAUGGACAGCUCUACAAAUACGAAGGGAUUCACUUUCUUUCACUGGUCAAUUCCUUGAGCAAGCUGCCAGUCUGUUACGACAGAAGGACCCGUGGAAGCUACAAAGCAAUACUUUUCCAGUGACAAGUGACACCGCUUGUGUAAACAAACUCUUGAAGCCAAGUAUUUAUAGUUGUCCUAAAAUUUUGGGUCAAGUAUCAUUCACAUAGGGAAUUUUCAUACUUCAAGAAACCUAGCACUUGCAUGGAUAUGUACACGGUGAGUUUCUUAACUGUUCAAGUUUUUAUUCUUUAGAUACAGUAAAUACAAUUACAAUAAGAUAUUUCUGUGAAUUAAGGGAAUUUAAAUCUAGAUAUUGCACAUUCAUUUUAAAAUCUUAUAUCAUGUAAAUAAACCUCUAAAUAAAAUGGAAUUCAUUUUUCAAUAAAAACAAAUUUUCAUAUAGAAAAUCUUCUAGCUUAUAUGUGUGCUAAGUUACAAAUAUGUUAAAAAAUAAACCCAUUAACAGCACUAGCAUUGAUCGAUUUUUCUUCUUUCAGUUAAUCACUUCUAUUCUGAACGAACUUGAGGUAAGUUCAUAUUAAUUUUAAUGUUUAUUUAUUAUUGAGAGACACAGAGAGACAAAGCAUGAGCACUGGAGGGGCAGAGAGAGGGGAGACACAGAAUCUGAAGCAGGUUCCAGGCUCUGAGCUGUCAGCACAGAGCCGGAUGCGGGGCUCAGACUCACAAACCACGAGAUCAUGAUCUGAGCAGAAGUGAUGCUUAACCAACUGAGCCACCCAGGCGCCCCUCAUAUUAAUUUUUAAGUUAUUAUAAAGUAUAAACCUAUUUAAUGGACUGAGGGUAAUGUCUUUUUUUUUUUUUAUCUUUUAGGGCUUCUUUGGGGUAAGACUUUAUUUCUAUGAUUAUAUUGAUAAAAACAAGUGACAUUUAAUAUCAGGAAAGGUAAGAAUAACUCUCCUCAACUAUAAAAAUAUAUGGCAGAAUCAAACCCAACUGACUUACCCAAAUUAGAGCUCCUGAGUUAUAAACUCUAAACAAUUUAGAUCAGAAUUUCUGCAGGUCUAAAAAGGUAUUUUCAUAAUGCCAUGGUAUUUGACAAAAUUUCAGCCUACGAAGUAUAUGCAAUGUUAAGAAAUUUCAAACAGUAAAUUUUUCCUCAAGCUUGUUUUUGUUUUAUGGACAAUUCAUAGUAAGCAGUGAGAAAAGUCUGCUGUGAAACUACCAAAUCUAGAAAUGGCCUCAUUUCAAGGCAAAGGCAAAACAUCUCCUUAACACCAAAGCAUCAGCUUGCUGGAUGGAGAGGCUACAAAUCUUGAGACUUCUUUGAUUCUCAUCCAAGUUUGUUCUCACUUUAAAAUAUAUACAAAAGAUAAGCUUUGUGCAGUGGGUAUAUCAUAGCCAAUGAAGUUUAUCCAAGGCACGAUUAUUGCUAAUUGAAAAUACAUACAAAAGAUAUAUUCCUUUUUUAAAUAUCUGAAUUAAUGUCAAUCAAAAUUAUUGUAUAUAAAUUAAUGUUA
This 3820-nucleotide long non-coding RNA is filed under the name Lynx canadensis (Canada lynx). RNAcentral describes it as "lncRNA (ENSLCNG00005002978.1)". The stretch from base 3676 to 3792 matches the Rfam family "U4 spliceosomal RNA". Lineage: Eukaryota; Metazoa; Chordata; Mammalia; Carnivora; Felidae. The record is from RNAcentral.